This is a long non-coding RNA of Oxyura jamaicensis (ruddy duck), 1563 nucleotides long. RefSeq lists it as uncharacterized. The transcript is spliced from 4 exons. The record is from RefSeq and is a predicted model, not a curated record. NCBI's taxonomy places the organism in Eukaryota, Metazoa, Chordata, Aves, Anseriformes, Anatidae.
GAAGGUACUCAAAGCUCAAAUUCUGGGUAUAAAAGCCCCUAGGGGUGUGUGUAUAUUUGCGUAUACACACAAGCAUGUGUUUCAUGUAUACGUGCACCUGAAGCAAUGUGUUCAUAUGUGCAAACACACCACAUCCACAGCUUUUCUUAAUCACUCAAAGUUCUGAAAGGUCUCCUGCCACAACAAUGCAUUGAAAAAUAUGGUAUUUGCCUGUGGAGCAUCAACCAACGGCCUGUUUUUCUGAGCUGGACAUCUCAUCAAAUGAUAAGUGACUCAGCCACCCAGGAGAGUGAGAGCUGUCAUUCCUGCUGUGUUCUCUGUCUCUGGAAAGCACAAAGCGGAGAGGAGACAACUCACGCUGCCUAAUGCUGAGGCUGGUCCAGCACUGCAGAUGUGAAGGUUAAGCUGAAUAUCUGUGAGCAGAGAAGCCUCUGUGAGGAGGAAGGAAAAUCUAUUUAAAAGCUGAAAUGGAAAAACCCAGCAGCAAUCAAUCAGAAUAGAACUAAUAUUCUUUGGUGAAUGAUGAAAAAUCCAGGUUCUAGGUAGUAAUGACUGAGCAAAAAGACUGAGUAAAAGGACAGCCUGGAGAGAAUUCUAAUGAAAUCUCUUCAACAAGGCUCAGCACUCUUGUUAGAAAGGCAGGGUGACUCACAUGCUGAAGAUUUUAAGCAGUGUUUGAAGAAGGAGAGAACCGGAUAAUGCGGAGAAUUGUCAAGGUUAUAGUGACAAGUACGACGACUUUGAAUCUGCGGAGAACGAGUCAAACUGCUGUGGGUUGCUGACUGUUUUGCUGGGCAAUGUGAGGUAGGAUCCCUGCCUUUGAUGAAUACCUUUCAUCCACGAAUUUCAAAAUGUUCCAUGGGUACUCAGCCACAGGGAACAGAAGGAAAUGCACAGAACUAAGAGGAAAACUUUCAGAGAAGACUUCUAUCAUCAGCUGAAAUCAAGGACCAUGAUAUAGUAGUGUUGAAAACUAAUGUGUCAUGUCUGCAGCAAAUUUGUUUGCAUUUCUUGACCUUACUCUGCUGACUAAUUAGGCUUAAUGUGUUAAAUGCACUCUGAAUGAGGUACUAAAUGCACUGAAGAGUAUGUUUUAGCACUUAAAAGGAAUGGAAAAAAUCCUGUUAAGGUGAUUUGGACUAAGUCCCAGGGUGACAUGCAUAAUGCUGGCAGAAAGUCCACUAUGCUGAAUUAUGUUUCCUGCAUACACAGGCAUGCUGAUAUUUUUUGUAAACCUAGUGUGUAACCAAAUCAGCAAGACAUUACCUAGAGAAAGAUCCUACUUGCUUGCUUCACAGUAUUACUAUCUUUUCAUAAUUGAAAUCCCAUCUACUAAACUAUAUUAAUAAAUUGAAUCAUGCUUAGCAGGAUUCCUAAGGGGAGAAACAUUUAGAUAAUAUUCACCAGACACUUAUUUAUUUAGCUAAGUGUCUCCCUUUUAUUGGCUUAUAUCCACGUGCCUUCUAAUGUUCAGAGUAUUAGUAAUUUCUUUUGCUUUUAAAAUUUGAUUAGCUCAUACCAUUUAAAAUUUCUAUAAUCAAAUAAAAUACCUGUAGUUCAAAA